RNAcentral lists this ribosomal RNA (461 nucleotides) under uncultured bacterium. Its description in RNAcentral is "partial 16S ribosomal RNA". It matches the Rfam family "Bacterial small subunit ribosomal RNA", at positions 338 to 795 of the family's 1533-position model. The record is from RNAcentral.
CCUACGGGAGGCAGCAGUGAGGAAUAUUGGUCAAUGGACGAGAGUCUGAACCAGCCAAGUAGCGUGAAGGAUGACUGCCCUAUGGGUUGUAAACUUCUUUUAUAAAGGAAUAAAACGAGGCACGUGUGCCUUUUUGCAUGUACUUUAUGAAUAAGGAUCGGCUAACUCCGUGCCAGCAGCCGCGGUAAUACGGGGGAUGCAAGCGUUAUCCGGAUUUAUUGGGUUUAAAGGGUGCGUAGGUUGGGAGGUAAGUCAGCGGUGAAAUGCCUGCGCUCAACGGGGUGAAGUGCCAUUGAUACUGCCAUGCUGGAAUGCGGAUGCGGUAGGAGGAAUGUGUGGUGUAGCGGUGAAAUGCAUAGAUAUCACACAGAACACCGAUUGCGAAGGCAUCUCACGAAUCCGCGAUUGACGCUGAUGCACGAAAGCGUGGGUAUCAAACAGGAUUAGAUACCCUUGUAGUC